Molecule: non-coding RNA, 1135 nt
Organism: Pimephales promelas (fathead minnow)
Lineage: Eukaryota; Metazoa; Chordata; Actinopteri; Cypriniformes; Leuciscidae
Source: RefSeq, a predicted model, not a curated record
CUCGGAAAAGCUCCUGGAGUUCAGUGUCACUCAUCUGCUCCAGCGCCUGAAGACUGCUGUGGUACAGAGCAUUGGUGCACCUGUGUGUGUCACUUUCUAAGCCCUCUUUCCCGUGGACGAGCUUGGUGACCUCAGCGGCCAGGCGUUUGUGUGCGGUCCGCUUGCCCGGGUCGUGUCUCUGCUGCUCCAUCACCUUCUCCACCUCAGCCAGUGGCAGGAACGUGAAGAACUUCAGACUCACGCUUCGACGCUGCUAUCGGGCAGCCGCAGGAAGUACUGGUAGAACUCAAACGGGGAUGUUUUAUCGGGGUUGAGCCACACAGCGUUGCCGGCCGUCUUGCCCAGUUUAUCUCCCAUCGAGGUCGUGACGAGAGGAACCGUCAGGCCGAACACUUCCUCUCCUGUCUUUCUGCACAAGAACAAAACAUCUUACACAUCAGAGGCUCGGCUGUAUCAUGACGGUUGUAUAAAUAAGAUUAACAACUACGUGUUUUAUUUUAUGCCACUCUUACUUAUUUGUAUUAAAAUGAAGCAAAUGAUAGCUACCAUCGAGAAAAUAUUACCAAUACUAGAAGUCUUAUUUUUAACACACACACAUACAUUUUAUAUAUAUAUAAUCACUGUACUUGUGUGUGAGCUCGUGUACCUGUGUAUAAGCUCAUGUCCGCUCAUGAUGUUCCCGAGCUGGUCGGUUCCUCCGAUCUGGAUCCUGCAGCCGUGGAUCUGAUGCAGACGGUAGAAGUCGAAGGCCUGGAAGAGCUGGUAGGAGAACUCGCUGAAGCUCAUGCCCUCGGCGCUCUUCAGGCGAGACUGCACGCUGUGUCUGCUGAGCAUCGAGCCCAUCCGAAAACACCGGCCGACCUCCGAGAAAAAGUCCAGCACCUGCCAGGAGGAUGCAGAAACCAAGCUCUUCUCUGAGUGUGUCGGGAAAGGAUUCAAAGCAUCAGCAAAUGGUUUUAUAAUAACAAAAUAAAAAAUAUUUAUUUUCAUAAACAAAAAGAAAAGAGGGAAAAUACUAAUUAUAAUAAUGUAAAGUAAAUAAUGUUCUAAUUAUUUUAUGGUUUAUAUGGCAGAAUAUAUGAUGUGCUCAAGUUUUUAAAUAUCCAUUAAUAAACAACUUUGGGUUCAGAUUUCA